AUUUCUUGGGCCGCUCCCGUGGCAUAUGGAGGUUCCCAGGCUAGGGGUCCAAUCAGAGCUGUAGCCACCAGCCUACACCAGAGCCACAGCAAUGCGGGAUCCGAGCCGCGUCUGCAACCUACACCACAGCUCACGGCAAAGCCGGAUCGUUAACCCACUGAGCAAGGGCAGGGACCGAACCCACAACCUCAUGGUUCCUAGUCGGAUUCGUUAACCACUGCGCCACGACGAGAACUCCUGCAAAAAAUUUUCAAGUUGAGUCGAAUUCAUUUUAACCACUAUUACUAAUAGCAUCAUUAAAAAAUAAAUAAAUGUAAUCUCCAAAUCUUAAUAUUUCAGUUAUCUACAUGGUUAGAGGUUUAGGAUCUGUACAGAAGACCUUUUUCAAAGUUCAUAAAGCUAAGAAUUUAAGAACAUUUCUCUCUUUCUCACUUUCUUUUUCACAGGACUAUCACUGCUAAGGUUUUAAAAAUGUUCUAGCUGUUGGUAGCUAUUCAGUUCUUGCACAAAGACACAAAUCCUGGCUGCUGGCCUUUUGGCAUCUGCUAAUAUUUUCAUAGACCUCAAUUGAACUUUCUGUCUGUUCAUGGAACUUCAGAGGCUGACAAAAGAAACAGCUUCUAUUUGUCUUUUUCACCCUUCACUUUUAAUCCUUUCCAUAAGCCACUUGAAAGGACUGUGUGAGGCAGUUCAAGAAUAAAAAGGGAAAAGAAGAAAAUCUAUGUUUCCUUCACAAUGUUUGUCUCCCCUUCCUUUUCAUCCAGAGAAUAGCAAAUUAAGCAACCAUGAAAACGGGGGAUAGUGCGGUGCAUAUAACCAAGCUUAGCAUUGGAUGAGCCUCAAACUUAUAACAGCCAUUUAAGCCUCCCUUGUGUGCAAGAAUUAAUCAGCAAAAGCAGUCAUAAAAACACACACACAAAAGGAAAAGUGAUUUAGCAGUGGAGCAGAGCAAGAGGGGCCUGCCCAAGAGCAGUGAGCUCACAACUUAACAAAAUGACAGCACCCCAAGUUUGCCACGACACGUAGGUCCUUCUGGGCCAUCAGUCCCCCCCCCCCUGCCUUCUGAAGCCCUGGGAACAUGGCUUUCAUGUGCCUUCCUCAGCUUCACUGUCUCUCUCUUCACCAAGGAACAAGGCCUGGCCUGUCUGGUUGGUGACUGCUCUUACCUGCUUCUCCAAGUCAGCACAUCCAGAGCACAGAUCACCUCCAGGGAGGUGGAAGGCUGGUCCUGCCACCGUAGUUUGCAUAGAAGGGCAUCCUCUGCCUCCUUGGGUCUUCCCCAGAUGGGUUGCCCUGCAUCCUGGGACAUGGAGUCACGGCUGCUGACAAAGCUGCAGUCACCAAUCCAAUCCACUGGUAAGAAGAGUGCUGGUUUGCCUCUGAUGUACUUUCCCUUAUGCUCCGAGGACAGCUGUACUGUCAGCCGGUGAGCCUCCUGGGUAUAUUCUUAGUCAACAAGUUUGCUGCAAAUCCUCUCAGUCAAUGAGGUGUUUCUUUCCUCCCUCCUUUUUCUUUCGUCUUUUUAGGGCCGCACUCACGGCAUAUGGAAGUUCCCAGGCUAGGGGUCGAAUCAGAGCUGUAGCUGCUGGCCUACACCACAGCAACACUGGAUCUGAGCUGUGUCUGUCACCUACACCACAGCUCAGGGCAAUGCCAGAUCCUUAAACUACUGAAUGAGACCAGGGAUCGAACCUGGAUACUACUUGGGUUCGUUAGCCACUGAACCACGAUAGGAACUCCCUCUUUUCUUUCCAUUUAAAAAAAAAAAAAAAAUCCAUACUCUACUGAAUGCCUUCUUCAAUGUCAUGUGUUUAAUUUGCUGUGGCUGAUCUUUCUGACUUCCAUGUUCUGGCACAAUUUUUAGCCCUUAAUGUCAGACAAUGUAUGGGAGUAGAAAUGUGGGAUCAGUUGCAAAUAAGGGAAGUUUACCACAAUUCAAAGAUCCAAGUUUUAUAUGACCUUUCAAGAAAUGUUUGCAGGAACACAGAAGACAAGUAAGUGACAAUUUGAGAUUGGUGGAAGUUCUUUAAGGUCCUGAGGACUGUUAUAAACCUCAUGGUGGUCCCAUCACCAUGGGGGAAGAAACUGUGGCUUUGUAGGAUUUGAACAAUAGAGGAGCACAAGUGUGUGAUGCUACAGGUAGCCUGUAUCCUUAGGAUCCAGCCCUGGAAUCAGCCAUGUCUCCUAGAAGCCUCCUUUCAGUGGGAACUAAUACCUGGGCGCUAGACUUUCUGCUCUGGUCUUUGCUUCUUGGCACUUUCAGUAAAUAGAGCUAGGGAAUCCAAUCUAUUUUUCUAAUCUAAUCUUAGAUUUCCUAGCUCUCUUUACAUAUAUAUACCUGCAUACCAAUAUACUCAUAUACUAGCUAUUCUUCUGUUAUUUUUAUUUUUAUAUAAAACUUAAAAUUUCAUCAAUGCAAAGGUGGUUUUCACUUUAAUAUCAAUAUAUCACACUAAUCUUGGCUUAAGGGAACUGCUUUUGUAAACAGAGGAUAGUAAUAACCAUUUUAUUCCCAAUUGCAGGAAAUACUUAACCUAUUUAAUCUCUAUAUGAAUUGAGCAUAGGAGAAAAUGAUUUUAGUGUAAUACUUCCUUGAAAAAGCUUAUUUUAUUGCCCUAUUCCUAAUAUUUCCUCAUUCUUUCUACUCUUCAUCUCUUGCCAAGCCCUCAUCCCACCAAGGGAGAAGGAAAACCCUGCCACCACUGUGUUCUGGCAGUUUCUGCUUCGUAGAAAUGGAAUUUGCAGUUGAAAACAGACUUUAUUUUUGGGAGAGUCGUGGCAUGUGAAAGUUCCCAGGCCAGGGACUGAACCCAUGCAACAGCAGAAACAGGCUUUUAACUCAUCAGUCUUUGGAUCAGAACUCUCAAUUGUAUAUCUAUGGCCCUAAAAUGAACUCAAAACAAUUGCACUCCAUUGCUUCUGCUUUAGGCUUGCGUCUAUAUUGAAGAACCCCUACCCAAGGCCAGAGAUUAACCAACUCUGAGUCCAUCAUGGUAAUUCAUGCUAAUUUUAAUUACAAUAAGCUAAACUAAAGUCAAUUUCACCUGCUUCAAAUAUGUGAUUUAAAAGAUCAUAACUGCUGAUCCAGUGGUCCAUGGAGGUCCAUUAAAUUUUAAAAUUCUGGAUCCUAAAAAACUAAUGUUCAUCAUCACUUACAUUUACUUUUGUUUCUGGCAUAAAUUAACAUUAAAAAACUAUACUCUCAAUAGGAUUUCCUAAAAGACAGCCUUUUAAACUUAUUUUUUAUUUUUUAAAUUAAUUAAUUAAUUUAAUGGCUGCUCCUGUGGCAUAUGGAAGUUCCCUGGCUAGGGGCAGAAUUAGAGCUGCAGCUUUGCUCUAUGUAUGCCACAGCCACAGCAAUGUCAGAUCCCAGCCACAUCUGCAACCUGUGCCACAGUUUGCAGCAAUGCCUGAUCCUUAACCUACUAAGUGAGGCCAGGAAUCAAACCAGCAUCCUCACAGAGACAGCAAGGUCCUUAACGAGCUGGGCCACAACAGGAACUCCUAGACAGCCAUUUUUUCCAUUAAUUCUGGAAAAAGUUUAGUAAUCUCAAGGCCGACCACAUAUGAUAGUUGAUCAAUAGAGUUUUACAUUCUACUGACGUAGUCCAAAGCUUUAGAAAAUACAUCUCAAAAAAUAUAUCAUAUCGCUUUACUCAAUUUUAUGUGGCUAUGAUAAGCCAACAGACCAUCUCAUGAAGGCUUAACUUUUCAGUCAGAGGAGAUUACCCUUAAUGUCAGAGAACUUUCAUCUUAGAAACCGUCGUGAUUAUUAUCGCUACUGAAACUUUUAAGCAUUUUAACCAUUUUUAUAUCUUCUCUU
RNAcentral lists this long non-coding RNA (3823 nucleotides) under Sus scrofa (pig). RNAcentral's name for it is "lncRNA (ENSSSCG00005026295.1)". The record is from RNAcentral. Lineage: Eukaryota; Metazoa; Chordata; Mammalia; Artiodactyla; Suidae.